Molecule: ribosomal RNA, 474 nt
Filed under: uncultured Planctomycetota bacterium
Lineage: Bacteria; Pseudomonadati; Planctomycetota
Description: bacterial SSU rRNA
Rfam family: Bacterial small subunit ribosomal RNA
Source: RNAcentral
UCGAGGAUCUUCGGCAAUGGGCGCAAGCCUGACCGAGCGACGCCGCGUGCGGGAUGAAGGCCUUCGGGUUGUAAACCGCUGUCAGGGGGGAGGAAAGCCCGCAAGGGCAUGACCUAUCCCCAGAGGAAGCACGGGCUAAGUUCGUGCCAGCAGCCGCGGUAAGACGAACCGUGCGAACGUUGUUCGGAAUCACUGGGCUUAAAGGGCGCGUAGGCGGGCCGCCCAGUCCGGGGUGAAAGCCCUCGGCUCAACCGGGGAAGUGCCUUGGAUACUGGCGGUCUGGAGGGAGGUAGGGGCAGCUGGAACUUCCGGUGGAGCGGUGAAAUGCGUUGAUAUCGGAAGGAACGCCGGUGGCGAAAGCGAGCUGCUGGACCUCUUCUGACGCUGAGGCGCGAAAGCCAGGGGAGCGAACGGGAUUAGAUACCCCGGUAGUCCUGGCCCUAAACGAUGGGUACUAGGGUAGUGGACUUGACA